Molecule: ribosomal RNA, 468 nt
Filed under: uncultured bacterium
Lineage: Bacteria
Description: partial 16S ribosomal RNA
Rfam family: Bacterial small subunit ribosomal RNA
Source: RNAcentral
GACGAACGCUGGCGGCGUGCUUAACACAUGCAAGUCGAACGGAAAGGCCCAGCUUUUGUGGGGUGCUCGAGUGGCGAACGGGUGAGUAACACGUGAGUAACCUGCCCUUGACUUUGGGAUAACUUCAGGAAACUGGGGCUAAUACCGGAUAGGAGCUCCUGCUGCAUGGUGGGGGUUGGAAAGUUUCGGCGGUUGGGGAUGGACUCGCGGCUUAUCAGCUUGUUGGUGGGGUAGUGGCUUACCAAGGCUUUGACGGGUAGCCGGCCUGAGAGGGUGACCGGCCACAUUGGGACUGAGAUACGGCCCAGACUCCUACGGGAGGCAGCAGUGGGGAAUAUUGCACAAUGGGCGGAAGCCUGAUGCAGCAACGCCGCGUGCGGGAUGACGGCCUUCGGGUUGUAAACCGCUUUCGCCUGUGACGAAGCGUGAGUGACGGUAGUGGGUAAAGAAGCACCGGCUAACUACGUG